CAACUAACUAUCACAUUCUUCU
RNAcentral lists this non-coding RNA (22 nucleotides) under Arabidopsis thaliana (thale cress). Lineage: Eukaryota; Viridiplantae; Streptophyta; Magnoliopsida; Brassicales; Brassicaceae. The record is from RNAcentral.